Molecule: ribosomal RNA, 492 nt
Filed under: uncultured bacterium
Lineage: Bacteria
Description: partial 16S ribosomal RNA
Rfam family: Bacterial small subunit ribosomal RNA
Source: RNAcentral
AGUGAACGCUGGCGGUAGGCCUAACACAUGCAAGUCGAACGGCAGCACAGUAAGAGCUUGCUCUUACGGGUGGCGAGUGGCGGACGGGUGAGGAAUACAUCGGAAUCUACUUUUUCGUGGGGGAUAACGUAGGGAAACUUACGCUAAUACCGCAUACGACCUACGGGUGAAAGCAGGGGAUCUUCGGACCUUGCGCGAUUGAAUGAGCCGAUGUCGGAUUAGCUAGUUGGCGGGGUAAAGGCCCACCAAGGCGACGAUCCGUAGCUGGUCUGAGAGGAUGAUAGGCCACACUGGAACUGAGACACGGACCAGACUACUACGGGAGGCAGCAGUGGGGAAUAUUGGACAAUGGGCGCAAGCCUGAUCCAGCCAUACCGAGUGGGUGAAGAAGGCCUUCGGGUUGUAAAGCCCUUUUGUUGGGAAAGAAAAGCAGCAGGUUAAUACCCCGCUGUUCUGACGGUACCCAAAGAAUAAGCACCGGCUAACUUCGUG